Molecule: unclassified non-coding RNA, 547 nt
Filed under: Hevea brasiliensis (rubber tree)
Lineage: Eukaryota; Viridiplantae; Streptophyta; Magnoliopsida; Malpighiales; Euphorbiaceae
Source: RNAcentral
GGAAGGGUGGGAACCGCUUUUGGAAGAGCGUUGGGCUGGGAUUCAAGACUCCCAGAGAUGCCAUUGAAGGGACAUACAUUGAUAAGAAAUGCCCAUUCACUGGCAGUGUUUCAAUCCGAGGCCGAAUCCUUGCUGGCACCUGUCACAGUGCUAAGAUGAACCGAACUAUCAUUGUUCGGCGGAACUACCUCCACUAUGUUAAGAAGUACCAAAGGUAUGAGAAGCGGCAUUCCAAUAUUCCUGCCCACUGUUCCCCCUGUUUUCGUGUGAAGGAAGGGGAUCAUGUCAUCAUAGGCCAAUGCAGGCCUUUGGCAAAGACUGUUCGAUUUAAUGUGUUGAAGGUCGUUCCUGCGGGAUCAACUGGUGGAGGCAAGAAGGCUUUUACUGUAGUUUAAGUUGCUUUAAAAUGUUGUGGUUCAAAGGUUAUCCGAACAUUAUAGAUGUGGAUUUUGAUUUGGCGGCUAGUAUUAUGUAAUCGUUUUGUUUCGACACUGGUUUAGUACACCAGUGUUUUGGUUCUCAGUUCUGAUUUUAUCGAAGAUAUUUU